This 253-nucleotide ribosomal RNA is filed under the name uncultured bacterium. Its description in RNAcentral is "partial 16S ribosomal RNA". It matches the Rfam family "Bacterial small subunit ribosomal RNA", at positions 524 to 776 of the family's 1533-position model. The record is from RNAcentral.
AACGUAGGAGACAAACGUUAUCCGGAGUUACUGGGCGUAAAGGGCGCGUAGGCGGCGCACCAAGUCAGGCGUGAAAGCCCUGGGCUCAACCCGGGAAUUGCGCUUGAGACUGGUGUGCUUGAGUACGGGAGAGGAUAGUGGAAUUCCCAGUGUAGAGGUGAAAUUCGUAGAUAUUGGGAAGAACACCGGUGGCGAAGGCGGCUAUCUGGACCGUAACUGACGCUGAGGCGCGAAAGCGUGGGGAGCAAACAGG